This 207-nucleotide ribosomal RNA is filed under the name uncultured bacterium. Its description in RNAcentral is "partial 16S ribosomal RNA". It matches the Rfam family "Bacterial small subunit ribosomal RNA", at positions 328 to 538 of the family's 1533-position model. The record is from RNAcentral.
ACGCUCGACACCUACGGGAGACAGCAGUGGGGAAUAUUGGGCAAUGGGCGCAAGCCUGACCCAGCAACGCCGCGUGAAGGAUGAAGGCUUUCGGGUUGUAAACUUCUUUUAUCAGGGACGAAACAAAUGACGGUACCUUGAUGAAUAAGCCACGGCUAACUACGUGCCAACAGCCGCGGUAAUACUGAGCGGGCGUGGCGAAGGACG